This 1158-nucleotide long non-coding RNA is filed under the name Homo sapiens (human). Its description in RNAcentral is "HSALNT0378256". The record is from RNAcentral. Lineage: Eukaryota; Metazoa; Chordata; Mammalia; Primates; Hominidae.
UAAAAGCAGGCUGCGUGAGCCAACAGUGGCAACUUGUUCGGGUAUCCUUCCCCAGUGUGGAAGCUUUAGUUCUUUUGCUCUUUGCAAUGAAUCUUGCUGCUGCUCACUCUUUGGGUCCACGCUGCGUUUACACUGUGUUUAUGAGCUGUAACACUCACCACAAAGGUCUGCAGCUUCACUCCUGAAGCCAGCAAAGACCACGAACCCACCAGGAAGAAGGAACAACUCCAGACACGCAGCCUUAAGAGCUGUAACACUCACUGCCAAGGUCUUCAGCUUCACUCCUGAGCCAGCCAGACCAUGAACCCACCAGAAGGAAAAAACUCGGAACACAUCCCAACAUCAGAAGGAACAAACUCUGGACAUGCCGCCUUUAAGAACUGUAACAACGCAAGGGUCCGCGGCUUUAUUCUUGAAGUCAGUAAGACCAAGAACCCAAUUCCGGACACGUUUGGACCGCCCACAAGGGCAAGACUUCAUGAGGUUCUGGUGACCAAGCAUGCUCAUCGCUGUCCUGGGACUGCUCCAAGUGCAAUUCAAAGAUGUUUGUUACAAAUGAAGAUCCUCUCCUCAGAGAUCCUCAUUCCCUGCAUUUGAGAUGGGCCCUGGGAACCUUCAUUAUUAACUCCUGAAUUUCACUUGGACCAACACGGUGAUGGUGACAAGCCCAGACUGGUGCAUAUGAGAAGAGAAGACACAAGAAAACACACAUGGAAGAGAGUGAUGAAGGCGAAGACCGGAGUGAUGUAGCUCCAAGCCACAGAAUGUCAGAGAUCGCCAGGAGCCACCUCCGGGAUAAGCAGAUGGAAAGGCAGCUCAACAUCUGAGAAGCCAGUCUUACUCCCUGCAGGCAACAGCUGCUUCCAGAAAACAGCCCUAUUACUUCACCAAAGUACAGUUCCUACAGGAAGAUAAUGAUCUGACCUAACCUACUAUUGGCUGAAGGAAGGAGAAAAGCAGCUGAAGAUGUCUGUUGAGUGAUUACCCUCAUAAUCCGUGACUAAGAACAUCCAAAUCAGCAUGGCUUCUUCCUGUCUGAAAUUAUUACUACUUAGGGUUUUUCACGUGUUAUUUCAUUUAUUGAUUAUUCUGUUUUAAACUUGCAAGACGUAUUGUCUCUUCAGAAAUAAAACUUUAUCACUUGCUUCAUCAAUUCAA